UCGCAUGUUAACCGAGGGCUGCAGCUGUCUCCAUAGCAGCAGUUUCUCCAACAGCAUGCAAGAAAAAAAUGGAGGGGCUUUGAUGGCUGAGGUAUGUCACAUGGUUCCACAUGCUGUCACUCUACCCUCGCACAAUG
Molecule: non-coding RNA, 137 nt
Organism: Pelobates cultripes (western spadefoot toad)
Lineage: Eukaryota; Metazoa; Chordata; Amphibia; Anura; Pelobatidae
Source: the annotation of a GenBank genome assembly